This 505-nucleotide ribosomal RNA is filed under the name uncultured bacterium. RNAcentral's name for it is "partial 16S ribosomal RNA". It matches the Rfam family "Bacterial small subunit ribosomal RNA", at positions 28 to 507 of the family's 1533-position model. The record is from RNAcentral.
GACGAACGCUGGCGGCGUGCCUAAUACAUGCAAGUAGAACGCACAGUUUAUACCGUAGCUUGCUACACCAUAAACUGUGAGUUGCGAACGGGUGAGUAACGCGUAGGUAACCUGCCUGGUAGCGGGGGAUAACUAUUGGAAACGAUAGCUAAUACCGCAUAAUAUUGAUUAUUGCAUGAUAAUUGAUUGAAAGAUGCUAUUGCAUCACUACCAGAUGGACCUGCGUUGUAUUAGCUAGUAGGUGAGGUAACGGCUCACCUAGGCGACGAUACAUAGCCGACCUGAGAGGGUGAUCGGCCACACUGGGACUGGGACACGGCCCAGACUCCUACGGGAGGCAGCAGUAGGGAAUCUUCGGCAAUGGACGAAAGUCUGACCGAGCAACGCCGCGGGAGUGAAGAAGGGUUUCGGAUCGGAAAGCUCUGUUGUAAGAGAAGAACGGGUGUGAGAGUGGAAAGUUCACACUGUGACGGUAUCUUACCAGAAAGGGACGGCUAACUACGUG